This 398-nucleotide unclassified non-coding RNA is filed under the name Hevea brasiliensis (rubber tree). Lineage: Eukaryota; Viridiplantae; Streptophyta; Magnoliopsida; Malpighiales; Euphorbiaceae. The record is from RNAcentral.
GCCCUCCCCCAUUCCAUUUCUAGACUAAGCAUAGAUGGGUUUAUUUUAAUAAAAAAAAUGAUGUUCUCACAUACAUAAAAGUAGGCAUGAGCAGUAUUCAGUUUGAACCAAAAAACCGAACCGAUUAUUGAGCCAAUUAGGUUCAAUCGUCUUGGUUUUUGAGUUCUUUAGGUGGAGUUUGGUUAUGAAUUUUUAAUAUUUUUGGUUUUUUAGUUUAGUUUGGUUCGGUUAAUUCAGUGAAAAAUAAAAAAAAGUGAACCUAACUGAUUUUCACCCAAUACUAAAGUGAUAUCGUUUUUAUCUAGGCUACAUAUAUCACAUAUUAAACAUUAACCUUAUUUUUUAUGCCACUUAACUGCAGCCACCCAACCCAACCUCCUCCUCCUUCUUCUUCUUCU